Long non-coding RNA from Mesocricetus auratus (golden hamster), 2380 nucleotides. RefSeq lists it as uncharacterized. The transcript has 3 exons. The record is from RefSeq and is a predicted model, not a curated record. NCBI's taxonomy places the organism in Eukaryota, Metazoa, Chordata, Mammalia, Rodentia, Cricetidae.
CUUACUCUCCACCCACUAGCCAGCUGUGAGUCUCUGUGUGAGUAACAAUCCACUGCAAAAAAUACUCUCCAAUGAGGCCUGAGGACUUUACUGAUCCAUGGAUAUAAGGGUAUGUUACACCGAGCCCGUUAUGCAGUUUCAAAGAUUUUAAUUCACCGCAUAAGUGGGUCAUUGAUCGGUCAGGGCUGCAGGACAAGGACUCGGGAACCUUGUUUCUCCUCGUUAAAAUUCACCAGCACUUGUUGCCAAGUUACAGUUACAAUGUUCACCAAUCAGAAAUCAAAGAUUAGGGACUUUUCUUGACGUUCCAUCAUUGUCAACUUACAUACAAUGCAAGCCUUUUAGUCCAACCAAUCAGAUUCAUUUGUUCCUUCUGUUGUUAGGAACAGCUACAAUGUUUCUAGAGAGCUAAAGAGGCAUACUGACUAUUUCUAUGGUGAAGGGAGGAGGCUGAUCAGCCCUUGGGAAGUUCUCAGUUUCCCCAGGGCUUGGGAACCUGAACUUCAUUUCAUACUACAGCUUCCCUUCAGGAGAAUGAAGAAGCAAGAGCCCAUCUUGGAAGUGGAGCCUGGCCCCAGUGGGGAACCUGCUGGUGCCCUGCUCAUGGGCUGGUAGCCAACAGCCCUCCUCCUCCUGACUGACAUGCGCCUUCACGGUUGCUUCCCUGCCUUCCCAUUUGAGGGAGCCCUUUCUGCUCUGGGACUCAUAAUCUCAGUAUGAGAAAGCCGCCUCUUUCUCCCCACAACUCCUCCAGCGAUCGUGUCAACCUUCGACUGCAAUGAAGAUCUUCUAAAGACGCUCCUGCUCCUCCCUCUGGCUAUCGGACUAGUGAGAUAACAGUCUCCAAGGAAUUGGAAUUUCCCUAGGAGACUCUUGCUGGGAGAAAGAAAAGGUCAGAUUCUAGACACCAGACAGAGGAAGAGCCUGUGUGAAAUCACACAGUUCUGACAACGUGUCAGACCGUGCCACAGGAGGGACUGGAAUUGAACUACAAAUGGGUGCCACUGUAUCAUACUGUAAGGGGAAUGAUGGGUGCCACUGUACCCCACUUUAAGGGAAUGCGCACUUAUGAACGAACACCUUUUACGGUCUACUUUUAUCUGUCUAGCGGCUACCCUCCCUAGUCUGAGGAGGUCCUCGAUGUUUUCUGAUGUUUUCUGGGACUUUGAUUUAGGCCAAGCCAGGAUUUGAGGCUUCAAUGCUGAGGAGAAUUUCAGCUAUUUAGAAUAUAUAACAUACUUAGAAUAACAGUGAAUUCAGUUACUUAGUAUAUAUGGAAUUUCAGAGAAUAUAGUUAAGCAGAUUUAGAAACUGUAUUAAAGAUCUUUUUACUUCAGGAUGGAGAACAAGGUUAAGAGAAAGAGAUGCUGUCAGAGGAAGGUAAGGCAAACUCAGAUGGGGACAUGCAGUUCCCAAGUAAGACAAAGGUAUGGGCUCCUCAAGGGAGAGGGAGCCAUUAAUUUUCUUAGUAUUAGCAUGGUGGCUCUGAGGUACAUCUGAAGGUCACUAUGACCUCUCCCUGCCUUGAACAGAAUAAUUAUGAUCUUACGAGGUAAAACUAGAAGCCACUAGAGCUGUUGAAGGGGUUAGUUAGUACAUGUCCUGUCCUUAGAAAUGUGUUUUCUGGUUAGUUUACCAGAAAUUGCAGGUUUAUGCCUGGGAAGAGAAAAGGUUCUUACACAAGUAGUAAUUGUGCUCCAGAAUCUGGCUUUAACCAGAUUCCGGAGUUAGGGGGUUCCUUUCCCUACUCAAGCCUCCAUAAUUCCCCUGGCUCUCUGUACUACCUCAGUAAUGGGAGUCAUAAUUAGAAUUUCUUCAGGAAAUCCUGCUUGGGGGUCAGGAUAGGCCUAAACCCUGGCUCCCAAGAAGAUUCCUCUCACAGUUUUGAUGGCUUAUCUCAUAGCUAAACCAACACAUUCGAAUGUCCUGGCAUUUGUCCCGUCUUUUCUGUGAAUUCUAACACUGCUGCAAGGCAGAGAAGCUGAGAAUUUUACUUCCUCGGUUCUAGACAAAACUGUAAAUAAGUCUGUUCCUUUCACUGGCUCCUCUUCUCCUGGUUUUCAGUAGAGAUCAAGGCACCUGAAAUUCUGGUCACAUUGUGCCUUAAAUAAAUAGGAUUUUCAAAACUUGUGUUCCACUUUGUCCCCUCUCACCUGAGUAGGUGGGGGCACGUGUGUGUGUGUGUGUGUGGAAUUUUGUGGUUUUUCUUUUCUUUCUUUUUUUUGAGACAAGUUCUCAUUGUGUAGCUCGGGCUGGAACUUGCUAUGUAGUCCCAGUUUACAAGGAACCAGCAGUUGCCUCUGCCUCCCAAGUGCUGGGAUUAAAGAUGUGUGGCACCACACCCAGCAAGAAUUUUUUAAUAUAUUUUAUUUUUAUUUAA